This 253-nucleotide ribosomal RNA is filed under the name uncultured bacterium. RNAcentral's name for it is "partial 16S ribosomal RNA". It matches the Rfam family "Bacterial small subunit ribosomal RNA", at positions 524 to 776 of the family's 1533-position model. The record is from RNAcentral.
GACGUAGGGGGCCAGCGUUGUUCGGAAUUACUGGGUGUAAAGGGUUCGUAGGCGGUGCGGCAAGUUAGGAGUGAAAUCUCUGGGCUUAACCCAGAGGCUGCUUCCAAAACUGCUGUGCUUGAGUGUGGGAGAGGCGCGUGGAAUUGCAGGUGUAGCGGUGAAAUGCGUAGAUAUCUGCAGGAACACCCGUGGCGAAAGCGGCGCGCUGGACCACUACUGACGCUGAGGAACGAAAGCUAGGGGAGCAAACAGG